AUGGUGGGCGUCAAUGCCAAUGUGAGAAAGGGCCUCGCAUCUGUCGUCAUGUUGGUUUCAUGGGAGAUUUGGAACAAGCGGAACGCGAGAGUGUUCAGGAAUGUGUCCUCCAUGCCAUAUGUAAUCACAUCUAGAAUUAAGACCGAAGCCAGGCUUUGGGGGUUGGCGGGGGCCAAGCAUUUGAGUUCUCUUAUGCCGCGAGAGUAG
RNAcentral lists this ribosomal RNA (207 nucleotides) under Triticum aestivum (bread wheat). RNAcentral's name for it is "partial small subunit ribosomal RNA". The record is from RNAcentral. Lineage: Eukaryota; Viridiplantae; Streptophyta; Magnoliopsida; Poales; Poaceae.